GACGAACGCUGGCGGCGUGCCUAAUACAUGCAAGUAGAACGCUGAAGAGAGGAGCUUGCUCUUCUUGGAUGAGUUGCGAACGGGUGAGUAACGCGUAGGUAGCCUGCCUUGUAGCGGGGGAUAACUAUUGGAAACGAUAGCUAAUACCGCAUAACAAUAGGUGACACAUGUCAUUUAUUUGAAAGGGGCAAUUGCUCCACUACAAGAUGGACCUGCGUUGUAUUAGCUAGUAGGUGAGGUAACGGCUCACCUAGGCGACGAUACAUAGCCGACCUGAGAGGGUGGUCGGCCACACUGGGACUGAGACACGGCCCAGACUCCUAAGGGAGGCAGCAGUAGGGAAUCUUCGGCAAUGGGGGCAACCCUGACCGAGCAACGCCGCGUGAGUGAAGAAGGGUUUCGGAUCGUAAAGCUCUGUUGUAAGUCAAGAACGAGUGUGAGAGUGGAAAGUUCACACUGUGACGGUAGCUUACCAGAAAGGGACGGCUAACUACGUG
Molecule: ribosomal RNA, 497 nt
Filed under: uncultured bacterium
Lineage: Bacteria
Description: partial 16S ribosomal RNA
Rfam family: Bacterial small subunit ribosomal RNA
Source: RNAcentral